RNAcentral lists this ribosomal RNA (253 nucleotides) under uncultured bacterium. RNAcentral describes it as "partial 16S ribosomal RNA". It matches the Rfam family "Bacterial small subunit ribosomal RNA", at positions 524 to 776 of the family's 1533-position model. The record is from RNAcentral.
CACGUAGGGUGCGAGCGUUGUCCGGAUUUAUUGGGCGUAAAGAGCGUGUAGGCGGCCAGACAGGUCCGUUGUGAAAACUGGAGGCUUAACCUCCAGACGUCGAUGGAAACCGUCUGGCUAGAGUCCGGAAGAGGAGAGUGGAAUUCCUGGUGUAGCGGUGAAAUGCGCAGAUAUCAGGAAGAACACCCGUGGCUAAGGCGGCUCUCUAGUACGGUACUGACGCUGAGACGCGAAAGCGUGGGGAGCGAACAGG